AACAAUGUUGGACACAACAAGAAACACCCGAUACACCCAAAUUCUUCUUAGUGUUUCUUGGCACAAAGAUCUGAUAUGGCAACCAAUUUUGGGUGGCAAAGAGCUAUCUUGAAAAGAAUUAAAUGAAAGAAAAUUAGAGUCCAAACUAAUUCUGCAUGAGGAGCAAACUGAGAAAGAAUUGGAAUCAAUUCUUGGAAAACUUGAUUUGGGCAGCCG
This 216-nucleotide long non-coding RNA is filed under the name Elaeis guineensis (African oil palm). RNAcentral's name for it is "long non-coding RNA (EGUI_LNC073634)". Lineage: Eukaryota; Viridiplantae; Streptophyta; Magnoliopsida; Arecales; Arecaceae. The record is from RNAcentral.